Cyprinus carpio carpio is the source of this 490-nucleotide long non-coding RNA. The record is from Ensembl. NCBI's taxonomy places the organism in Eukaryota, Metazoa, Chordata, Actinopteri, Cypriniformes, Cyprinidae.
UUACGAGGUGCUGAUGUUGAGCAGAGAUCAUCCGUUCAGCCCAGAUGGUAAUUGACUCGACACCAGACCCCUGCGUCUCGUUCUAUUUCUCUUCCUGGGACAUCAGAACUUUUCCUUUGCAGGUUUUUGGAGGCUUUGAAAUCCAGACUCAGAAGUGGAGGUGGAUCCCAGCAGGAACAUGGCCCAUCUCUCUGCCCCAGAGGAGACGUACUGCCACAGGGUCCAGAGAUGAGCCUUUGCCUGUCCGCUCUGGCAUUUCCUCUCACUGGCUCCAUGUGAAGGAGGAUAAAUCCAGUGUUUCUGGCAGAAGCCGCCAUGCAUCCUGGCGAUGGUGGAGGCCAUUGACAGCUGAGUGUCGUCGGGGGAUAUUAAAGUCCAACAGCGGGCCCAUUUCCCUUAUUAUUACAUGGGUUAUCCUAUGAUGGGUUUCAUGCACCUUUCCUUCGCACUCCGCCAACAUGUGUCCAAUGCUGUGUUUAGUAGUUCGGUG